UUGAGUAUUUAUUUCGUCCUCUGUGACAUAUUCUUGCCCCCAGUGACGUUCAGCUUGGCCACGUGACCUGCUGUGGCCAAUGGGAUACAAGUGGGCGUGAUACAGGCGAGGGGCAGACUAAAGUGUGAGUGCACAGCUUGGCCCGACCUGGCUGGCUUCUGCCCUCCUCCCAGGGCUGUGUGCUGCAGACGGAGCCUGCUCUGGCAGCUUGAGUUCCAGAACAGAAGCUAUAAGAAGACAUGAGGAACAGCCCAGAGCAGAGCUAUGUCCUUCUGUAAUAUGAUAGAGAAACUAAGGUUCGCUGUUAGCCAAUGGGAUUCCGAAGUUGCUUGUUGCCAUGACAGAAGCUGUAACGCUGGAGGGGAAAGCCUUGCUCUUUCUCACUGAAGCCAUCCACAUUACCCUAAAACUUUUUGUGAAGAGUGAAAAAAUACCAUCACCUAUGAGACACCAACUGGUAAGGUAUUUGGAAUGGUUCAGACUUUUGCCGGGGCCUUUGAUGACGUUCACCUCACGUCCCAGCUUACAGCAAUGUUCUGAGGAUCUCCAAUUCUUACACGUUCAGCCUUAACUUUUGUCACAAGGUGCAGAUUCUUAUACCCACUUGAUUGUCCACAAAACUUUGACCUCAGUGCUGGAAAUGAAACUUUGGAUGUCUUUUGGGGCAUUAGGUCCUUUCUCUUCAUUUCCUGCAUUCAGUAAGGGUGCUUACAUCUCCCCAGUCACCCAAGCCAAGUAGGAAUGGAGCUGGCUUCCCUCUUCUCUCUCUGCCCUUAUAUUUAUCUGGUGAUCAGUUCUGGUGGUGCUAUCCCAAAUUCUUUGUAGGAUAGAGAUGGUUAGAAAUAACUCACAUAGCUGGGCAUAAUGGUGCAUACCUGUAAUCUCAGCACUUGGGAGGCUGAAGCAGGAAGAUUUCCAUGAGUUCCAGGCCAUCCUGGGGAAGAUUGAGUUCAAGGCAGGCCUGAACUGCAUAGUGAGACCCUGUCUCAAAAUAAAAAACACCAAAGUCUUAGCUGGGCAUGGUGGCACACACCUGUAAUCCCCGCACUCGGAGGCUGAGGCAGGAGGAUCGUUGCAAGUUCCAGACCAGCCUGGACUACAAAGUGAGCUCAAGGCCAGCAUAGCAAGACCCUCUCUCAAAAAGACAAAAAAGAAGUCUUUCAAACAAAAAGAAAACAAACUAUCCAAGCCCAGCAUUAUUUCCAUGAGGAUGAUGACCGAUCUGUGGAACUAGAACCGGAGCAUUCUGACACCGAUGACCAGGAGCACGGGCAUCCCAGUGCGGUAACACAGAGGGUGCGUGGGGCUGCUGGUGCUGGGGCUAAAGUGUCUGGGGCCUGAGCUCUUUUCUUUGUGAUGAGAAAGUACAAUAACUUCUCUCAUGCCCACGCCAAGGGCCUUACACUUCUGUUCUGCAUGUAACGUGGUCAUUUAGACUUCGGGGCCAAACUCUCUAGGUCCGAGUUGGAGCUGCAGCCCCCGCUCCCUCCGUGAGUUCAGAGAACCUCUGCCUGCCGCGGCCUCCCCACCCACACACUCGGCGCAGCUGGCUUUCCUAGCCCAGGAGCUCUGCACCCCAGACUCAGUCAGUCACAGAUUAGUAAAUAUCUUCUAGAACUUUGGUCUGCACUGAGCAUCUAGAGACUUUCCUUGGCAUCAGCGCCUGAGAGCAGUAGGGUGUGACGACAUCCCAGACAUCUGCCUCAGACUGCGAAUCACGAGUAAGCCGGUGGUGACUUAGGAACGUAAGCGGACUGCACAGGCUACACGCACACAGUGUGCCGUUUGUGUGAGGGGCUUGAGCAUGUGUGGGCUUUGCUGUCAGUGCGGGUUCUGGGAACAAUCCCUGUGGGCUCCAAGGAGCGGGGUAUUCGUAGUACCUGCCUUGCAGGUUGUUACGCGUGAAAUGAGUUACUGCAGAUAAAGCACAGGCAGACGUGCGCGGUACAACGUAGACACUAUCGAAGGCAUACGCUUCGAUAUGGUUCGAAAUGCCACUUUAAAUGGCGUUCUGCUUACCGAAUUAAUCAA
This is a long non-coding RNA of Chinchilla lanigera (long-tailed chinchilla), 2031 nucleotides long. The record is from Ensembl. NCBI's taxonomy places the organism in Eukaryota, Metazoa, Chordata, Mammalia, Rodentia, Chinchillidae.